UACGUAGGGGGCUAGCGUUGUCCGGAUUUAUUGGGCGUAAAGAGCGUGUAGGCGGCUUUGCAGGUCUGCUGUGAAAACUCGAGGCUCAACCUCGAGACGCCGGUGGAAACCGUCAAGCUAGAGUCCGGAAGAGGAGAGUGGAAUUCCUGGUGUAGCGGUGAAAUGCGCAGAUAUCAGGAGGAACACCCGUGGCGAAAGCGGCUCUCUGGGACGGUACUGACGCUGAGACGCGAAAGCGUGGGGAGCAAACAGG
Molecule: ribosomal RNA, 253 nt
Filed under: uncultured bacterium
Lineage: Bacteria
Description: partial 16S ribosomal RNA
Rfam family: Bacterial small subunit ribosomal RNA
Source: RNAcentral